CUGACCUAUCAGCUUCCACUAUGGCACGCCGAAAAGAAUUCAUAACAAUCACUAAAACCCUACGCAACAAUAACAUCUCCUACAAGUGGGGUUACCCAACGAAACUUCUGGUAUGGAGACAAGGCAGAACACUGGUUAUAACCGAACCAGCCGAAGGCAUGAAGAUAAUCACCUCCUGGGGUCUUUGGAAUGCAACCACCACAGCUCCACACGCUGCACAAGCAACAGAC
Non-coding RNA from Pelobates cultripes (western spadefoot toad), 230 nucleotides. Lineage: Eukaryota; Metazoa; Chordata; Amphibia; Anura; Pelobatidae. The record is from the annotation of a GenBank genome assembly.